Long non-coding RNA from Rhinolophus ferrumequinum (greater horseshoe bat), 768 nucleotides. RefSeq lists it as uncharacterized. The transcript is spliced from 5 exons. Lineage: Eukaryota; Metazoa; Chordata; Mammalia; Chiroptera; Rhinolophidae. The record is from RefSeq and is a predicted model, not a curated record.
GGCCAGGAUUCCAACCACCCCAGCUUGUCUGCCCACGUGCUUCCCGGGGAUCCGGAACUGGUCCCGAGCAGCGGGGGCGGGGCGGGAGUGACUCCUGGGGAGGAGGAGGAAGGGAGGAGGCUCGCCACGUCGCCGGCCCGGCCCAGACUCCAGACUGCGCUCCGCCCAGCCCUCCAGGACCUCCCCAUAGAAGCAUGACCUGGCUCUUCCUACUGAGGCACCUGCCUCCUCGGUGAACGUGAAGAUGAAAGGAGGUCAUGUGGUCUUCUUGGUGGGAAGGCUCCAGGAUGAAGGAGAGAGGUGUCAAGAAACCUGGUCUCGGGUUUGUCCCUGUCUCUGUGUGACUUCUUGGGGUCUGCAGGCAGACUGGGAAGCCAUAAAGCAAAAGCACUGGAUUUGGAGCAAGAGAGGACACUGAAUCCAGUUCUGCCACAGUUUAGGUCUGGAAACCGUGCCUCCUCCACACAACAAAGCUGAAAUCGAGGUUACCUGUCCUGGAGCAAUUACUGCAUGUCAGGGACGAGGAUAGGUAAGUGCAGGGUCAUUUAGAGAAGAGCGUCAUAUCAUCCCUUGCCACCAUGGAGCUCACAAGUAACCAAGAUUCUCUAAGUUCGGUGUCAUCUCCAGACCCUCUGUCUGAGUCACCUUGAUUCCUGGGCCUGGACCGCAGACUUAUUGAAUCACAAUUCCUGGAGGAGAGGCCUCAGGUCAUGCAUUUUCACCAGUUCUUCUGAUUAAUCUCUUUUUCAUUAAGUUUAUUGAUGUGAU